Molecule: ribosomal RNA, 253 nt
Filed under: uncultured prokaryote
Description: partial 16S ribosomal RNA
Rfam family: Bacterial small subunit ribosomal RNA
Source: RNAcentral
GACGAACCGUACGAACGUUAUUCGGAAUCACUGGGCUUAAAGGGUGCGUAGGCGGCGGCGCAAGUUGGGUGUGAAAUCCCUCGGCUCAACCGAGGAACUGCGCUCAAAACUGCGUCGCUUGGGGGAGAUAGAGGUGAGUGGAACUUAGGGUGGAGCGGUGAAAUGCGUUGAUAUCCUAAGGAACACCAGUGGCGAAAGCGACUCACUGGGUCUCUUCUGACGCUGAGGCACGAAAGCUAGGGUAGCGAACGGG